RNAcentral lists this ribosomal RNA (465 nucleotides) under Vreelandella stevensii. RNAcentral's name for it is "partial 16S ribosomal RNA". It matches the Rfam family "Bacterial small subunit ribosomal RNA", at positions 338 to 795 of the family's 1533-position model. Lineage: Bacteria; Pseudomonadati; Pseudomonadota; Gammaproteobacteria; Oceanospirillales; Halomonadaceae. The record is from RNAcentral.
CCUACGGGGGGCUGCAGUGGGGAAUAUUGGACAAUGGGGGGAACCCUGAUCCAGCCAUGCCGCGUGUGUGAAGAAGGCCCUCGGGUUGUAAAGCACUUUCAGUGAGGAAGAACGCCUGGUGGUUAAUACCCAUCAGGAAAGACAUCACUCACAGAAGAAGCACCGGCUAACUCCGUGCCAGCAGCCGCGGUAAUACGGAGGGUGCGAGCGUUAAUCGGAAUUACUGGGCGUAAAGCGCGCGUAGGUGGCUUGAUAAGCCGGUUGUGAAAGCCCCGGGCUCAACCUGGGAACGGCAUCCGGAACUGUCAAGCUAGAGUGCAGGAGAGGAAGGUAGAAUUCCCGGUGUAGCGGUGAAAUGCGUAGAGAUCGGGAGGAAUACCAGUGGCGAAGGCGGUCUUCUGGACUGACACUGACACUGAGGUGCGAAAGCGUGGGUAGCAAACAGGAUUAGAUACCCUGGUAGUC